Molecule: non-coding RNA, 188 nt
Organism: Penaeus vannamei (Pacific white shrimp)
Lineage: Eukaryota; Metazoa; Arthropoda; Malacostraca; Decapoda; Penaeidae
Source: RefSeq, a predicted model, not a curated record
UAAUUAAUAGAUUUCAUAUUUUGUAGAUUUAAGAGCAGAGCUACAAAGUUGAUAUUAUAUUUUUUAAAUAAGAAAUCAUAGGUGUUGGCUGUGAAGAGGGUAUGGAGUAAAAAUGUCAUAAUUAUAUAUGUAACAAGUGCAGAUACUGGACUUGGGUUGAGGAUGAUGCUAAUCCAUAGAAGAUAAAU